GUGGGGAAUAUUGGGCAAUGGGCGAAAGCCUGACCCAGCAACGCCGCGUGAAGGAAGAAGGUUUUCGGAUCGUAAACUUCUAUCCUUGGUGAAGAUAAUGACGGUAGCCAAGAAGGAAGCCCCGGCUAACUACGUGCCAGCAGCCGCGGUAAUACGUAUGGGGCAAGCGUUGUCCGGAAUGAUUGGGCGUAAAGGGCGCGUAGGCGGCCCGGUAAGUCUGAAGUGAAAGUCCUGCUUUUAAGGUGGGAAUUGCUUUGGAUACUGUCGGGCUUGAGUGCAGGAGAGGGAAGCGGGAUUCCCGGUGUAGCGGUGAAAUGCGUAGAGAUCGGGAGGAAUACCAGUGGCGAAGGCGGCUUACUGGACUGUAACUGACGCUGAGGCGCGAAAGUGUGGGGAGCAAACAGGAUUAGAAACCCGGGUAGUCC
This 425-nucleotide ribosomal RNA is filed under the name uncultured bacterium. RNAcentral describes it as "partial 16S ribosomal RNA". It matches the Rfam family "Bacterial small subunit ribosomal RNA", at positions 354 to 796 of the family's 1533-position model. The record is from RNAcentral.